RNAcentral lists this ribosomal RNA (406 nucleotides) under uncultured bacterium. RNAcentral describes it as "partial 16S ribosomal RNA". It matches the Rfam family "Bacterial small subunit ribosomal RNA", at positions 29 to 526 of the family's 1533-position model. The record is from RNAcentral.
AUUGAACGCUGGCGGCAGGCCUAACACCAGCAAGUCGAACGAGUGGCGGAAGGGAGAGUAAUGUCUGGGAAAAUGCCUGAAGGAGGGGGAAAAGUACUGGAAACGGUAGCUAAUACAGCAUACCAUCGGCUGUGACCAGAUGGGAUUAGGUAGUAGGUGGGGGAACGGCUAACCGCGGCGACGAUCCCUAGCGGGUCUGAGAGGAUUACCGGCCACACUGGACCUGCGACACGGUCCAGACUCCUACGGUCGGCAGCAGUGGGGACUAUUGCGCAAUGGGCGCCAUCCUGAUGCAGCCAUGCCGCGUGUGUGAAGAAGGCCUUCGGGUUGUAAAUUACUUUCAGCGGGGAGGCGUUACCCGCAGAAGAAGCACCGGCUAACUCCGUGCCAGCAGCCGCGGUAAUAC